This 457-nucleotide ribosomal RNA is filed under the name uncultured bacterium. Its description in RNAcentral is "bacterial SSU rRNA". It matches the Rfam family "Bacterial small subunit ribosomal RNA", at positions 343 to 791 of the family's 1533-position model. The record is from RNAcentral.
UGGAGGCAGCAGUGGGGAAUUUUGCGCAAUGGGGGAAACCCUGACGCAGCAACGCCGCGUGAGUGAUGAAGGCCUUCGGGUCGUAAAGCUCUGUCUAGAGGAAAGAAAUGUAGGUAGGCUAAUACCCUAUUUACUUGACGGUACCUCUGAAGGAAGCACCGGCUAACUCCGUGCCAGCAGCCGCGGUAAUACGGAGGGUGCGAGCGUUGUUCGGAAUUAUUGGGCGUAAAGCGCGUGUAGGCGGUCUAUUAAGUCUGAUGUGAAAGCCCCGGGCCUAACCUGGGAAGUGCAUUGGAAACUGGUAGACUUGAAUACGGGAGAGGGUAGUGGAAUUCCUAGUGUAGGAGUGAAAUCCGUAGAUAUUAGGAGGAACACCGGUGGCGAAGGCGGCUACCUGGACCGAUAUUGACGCUGAGACGCGAAAGCGUGGGGAGCAAACAGGAUUAGAUACCCCGGU